CUGAGUUACCAACUCUCAAACCCUGUGAACCUACCUGUUUGUUCUUCUGGCGGGCGACCCCUGGGAGGGGUUGUAGCCAAGGUUUUGGCGCCCGCCAGCAGUACGCAAAAUUCUGGUAUCUAGCUGUCUGAGCAACUAUAAAUAAAGAAUCA
RNAcentral lists this unclassified non-coding RNA (152 nucleotides) under uncultured fungus. RNAcentral's name for it is "sequence contains ITS1, 5.8S rRNA gene". Lineage: Eukaryota; Fungi. The record is from RNAcentral.